This 425-nucleotide ribosomal RNA is filed under the name uncultured bacterium. Its description in RNAcentral is "partial 16S ribosomal RNA". It matches the Rfam family "Bacterial small subunit ribosomal RNA", at positions 354 to 796 of the family's 1533-position model. The record is from RNAcentral.
GUGGGGAAUAUUGCACAAUGGGGGAAACCCUGAUGCAGCGACGCCGCGUGGAGGAUGACGGCCUUCGGGUUGUAAACUCCUUUUGUCAGGGACAAUGGUGAUGGUACCUGACGAAUAAGCCACGGCUAACUCUGUGCCAGCAGCCGCGGUAAGACAGAGGUGGCGAGCGUUGUUCGGAAUUACUGGGCUUAAAGGGCGCGUAGGCGGUGGUGUAAGUCUGGGGUGGAAUGCUACAGCUCAACUGUAGAGCUGCCUUGGAAACUGCAUUACUUGAGUCGGUGAGGGGAAGGCGGAAUUCCUGGUGUAGCGGUGAAAUGCGUAGAUAUCAGGAGGAAGGUCUGUGGCGAAGGCGGCCUUCUGGCACUUGACUGACGCUGAGGCGCGAAAGCGUGGGGAGCAAACAGGAUUAGAAACCCCUGUAGUCC